This 602-nucleotide ribosomal RNA is filed under the name uncultured bacterium. Its description in RNAcentral is "bacterial SSU rRNA". It matches the Rfam family "Bacterial small subunit ribosomal RNA", at positions 504 to 1104 of the family's 1533-position model. The record is from RNAcentral.
UGUGCCAGCCGCGGCGGUAAUACGUAGGUGGCAAGCGUUGUCUGGAAUUAUUGGGCGUAAAGGGCUCGCAGGCGGUUUCUUAAGUCUGAUGUGAAAGCCCCCGGCUCAACCGGGGAGGGUCAUUGGAAACUGGGAAACUUGAGUGCAGAAGAGGAGAGUGGAAUUCCACGUGUAGCGGUGAAAUGCGUAGAGAUGUGGAGGAACACCAGUGGCGAAGGCGACUCUYUGGUCUGUAACUGACGCUGAGGAGCGAAAGCGUGGGGAGCGAACAGGAUUAGAUACCCUGGUAGUCCMCGCCGUAAACGAUGAGUGCUAAGUGUUAGGGGGUUUCCGCCCCUUAGUGCUGCAGCUAACGCAUUAAGCACUCCGCCUGGGGAGUACGGUCGCAAGACUGAAACUCAAAGGAAUUGACGGGGGCCCGCACAAGCGGUGGAGCAUGUGGUUUAAUUCGAAGCAACGCGAAGAACCUUACCAGGUCUUGACAUCCUCUGACAACCCUAGAGAUAGGGCUUUCCCUUCGGGGACAGAGUGACAGGUGGUGCAUGGUUGUCGUCAGCUCGUGUCGUGAGAUGUUGGGUUAAGUCCCGCAACGACCGCAACCC